GAAAGUAAAGAAGGGCGCAUGGCGGAUGCCUUGGCUCUCGGAGGCGAUGAAGGACGUGAUAAGCUGCGAUAAGCUCCGGGGAGGUGCAAAUAACCUUUGAUCCGGGGAUUUCCGAAUGGGACAACCCGGCGUGUUGAAGACACGCCACCUGAUCAUUUCAGGAGCUAACGCAGGGAACUGAAACAUCUUAGUACCUGCAGGAAAAGAAAAUAACAAUGAUUCCCCCAGUAGUGGCGAGCGAACGGGGAAUAGCCCAAACCGUUCAUGUUACGGCAUGAUCGGGGUUGUAGGACUACGUCGUUGCAUGAAGACAUCGGAGAAGAACUUUCUGGAAAGAAAGACCAUAGAGCAUGACAGUUGCGUAUUCGUAUGUUGUCGAAGCAUAGUAGUAUCCUGAGUAGCGCGGAGCACGAGGAAUUCUGCGUGAAUCUGCCGGGACCAUCCGGUAAGGCUAAAUACUCCCGAGAGACCGAUAGCGAACCAGUACCGUGAGGGAAAGGUGAAAAGCACUUCGAACAGAAGAGUGAAAUAGUUCCUGAAACCGUGCGCCUACAAGCGGUCGGAGCUGCUUAAAGCAGUGACGGCGUGCCUUUUGCAUAAUGAACCUACGAGUUGCCUUUGCCGGCAAGGUUAAGUGUGACGACACACGUAUCCGAAGCGAAAGCGAGUCUGAAGAGGGCGUAUAGUCGGCAGUGGCAGACGCGAAACCAAGUGAUCUACCCUUGGCCAGGUUGAAGGCUGGGUAACACCAGCUGGAGGACCGCACCAAUAAGCGUUGAAAAGCUUCUGGAUGAGCUGAGGGUAGGGGUGAAAGGCUAAUCAAACUUGGAGAUAGCUCGUACUCCCCGAAAUGCAUUUAGGUGCAGCCUUGUGGGUUACUGAUGUGAGGUAGAGCGACUGAUAAGAUGCGAGGGCUUCACCGCCUAUCAAGUCUUGACAAACUCCGAAUGCGCAUCAGUUUUACCUCAGGAGUGAGGGCAUGGGUGCUAAGGUCCGUGCCCGAGAGGAGAAGAAUCCGGACCACCUGCUAAGGUCCCGAAAUGACAGCUAAGUUAAACUAACGAAGUCUGACUGCUAAGACAGCUAGGAUGUUGGCUUGGAAGCAGCCAUUCAUUUAAAGAGUGCGUAACAGCUCACUAGUCGAGGAGUCUGGCGUGGAUAAUAAUCGGGUAUUAAGUUGUCUACCGAAGCAGUGGGAUCAUUGAAAUGAUCGGUAGGGGAGCAUUCCAGUCAGCGUCGAAGGCGUACCGCGAGGUAUUCUGGAGCGUCUGGAAAAGCAAAUGUAGGUAUAAGUAACGAUAAAGGGGGCGGGAAACCCCCUCGCCGAAAGACUAAGGUUUCCUGAUCAACGCUAAUCGGAUCAGGGUUAGUCGGGUCCUAAGGCUCAGCCGAACGGUGAGGCCGAUGGCAGAACAGGUUAAUAUUCCUGUACUACCUUAAGGAGUGACGUGGAGACGGAGCAGUGACAGCGCCGCGGACUGACGGAAUAGUCCGUUGAAGGGUGUAGAUGUUGAUCUUUGCAGGCAAAUCCACAAAGAGAGUCGAACCUGAUAGUAUGGAGCGUUCUUCGGAACAAUCCAAUAGUGCGUGUAAACAUACUCCCAAGAAAAUCCGCUAAACUUAAUCUUUAAGGUACCCGUACCGCAAACGGACACACGUAGUCGGGUUGAAUAUACUAAGGCGCUUGAGUGAUUCACGGUUAAGGAACUAGGCAAAUUGACCCUGUAACUUCGGGAUAAAGGGUCCUCGUCGUAAGGCGAGGCGCAGAGAAUAGGUCCAGGCAACUGUUUAACAAAAACACAUGGCUGUGCUAAAUGGAAACAUGACGUAUACAGCCUGACACCUGCCCGGUGCCGGAAGGUUAAGAGGAGAUGUCAUCCGCGAGGAGAAGCGUUGAAUUGAAGCCCCGGUAAACGGCGGCCGUAACUAUAACGGUCCUAAGGUAGCGAAAUUCCUUGUCGGGU
This 1964-nucleotide ribosomal RNA is filed under the name human gut metagenome. RNAcentral describes it as "bacterial LSU rRNA". It matches the Rfam family "Bacterial large subunit ribosomal RNA", at positions 1 to 1977 of the family's 2925-position model. The record is from RNAcentral.